AUUGGGUUGGCCAAAAAGUUCGUUCAGGUUUUUCUGUAACAUCAUACGGAAAAACCCAAAUGAACUUUUUGGCCAAUCCAAU
This 82-nucleotide microRNA precursor is filed under the name Tursiops truncatus (common bottlenose dolphin). RNAcentral's name for it is "miRNA (ENSTTRG00000024894.1)". Lineage: Eukaryota; Metazoa; Chordata; Mammalia; Artiodactyla; Delphinidae. The record is from RNAcentral.